UAAUACGUAGGGUCCAAGCGUUAUCCGGAAUUACUGGGCGUAAAGAGUCUGUAGGCGGUUGCUCGCGUGAGAUGCGAAAUCUGGUGGCUCAACCAUCUAGACUGUAUCUCAUACGGAGCGACUAGAGGACGGCAGAGGCAAGUGGAACUAGCGGUGUAGGGGUGAAAUCCGUAGAUAUCGCUAAGAACACCAAUGGCGAAGGCAGCUUGCUGGGCCGACCCUGACGCUGAGAGACGAAAGCGUGGGGAGCGAACAGGAUUAGAUACCCUGGUAGUCCACGCCGUAAACGAUGGAUGCUAUCAGUCUGGAGUAUCGACCCUCUGGGCUGAGAAGCUAACGCGUUAAGCAUCCCGCCUGGGGAGUACGAGCGCAAGCUUA
This 378-nucleotide ribosomal RNA is filed under the name uncultured bacterium. RNAcentral's name for it is "bacterial SSU rRNA". It matches the Rfam family "Bacterial small subunit ribosomal RNA", at positions 521 to 896 of the family's 1533-position model. The record is from RNAcentral.